This 500-nucleotide ribosomal RNA is filed under the name uncultured bacterium. RNAcentral's name for it is "partial 16S ribosomal RNA". It matches the Rfam family "Bacterial small subunit ribosomal RNA", at positions 28 to 523 of the family's 1533-position model. The record is from RNAcentral.
GACGAACGCUGGCGGCGUGCCUAAUACAUGCAAGUCGAGCGAGACUCGUCGGAGUCUAGCGGCGGACGGGUGAGUAACACGUGGGCAACCUGCCUGUAAGACUGGGAUAACACCGGGAAACCGGUGCUAAUACGGGAUAAUCCUUUUCCUCUCAUGAGGAAAAGCUGAAAGUCGGUUUCGGCUGACACUUACAGAUGGGCCCGCGGGGAAUUAGCUAGUUGGUGAGGUAACGGCUCACCAAGGCGACGAUGCGUAGCCGACCUGAGAGGGUGAUCGGCCACACUGGGACUGAGACACGGCCCAGACUCCUACGGGAGGCAGCAGUAGGGAAUCUUCCACAAUGGACGAAAGUCUGAUGGAGCAACGCCGCGUGAGCGAUGAAGGCCUUCGGGUCGUAAAGCUCUGUUGUUAGGGAAGAACAAGUACCGGAGUAACUGCCGGUACCUUGACGGUACCUAACCAGAAAGCCACGGCUAACUACGUGCCAGCCGCCGCCGUAA